UGGGGAAUUUUGGACAAUGGGGGAAACCCUGAUCCAGCCAUCCCGCGUGUGCGAUGAAGGCCUUCGGGUUGUAAAGCACUUUUGGCAGGAAAGAAACGUCGCGGGUUAAUACCCCGCGAAACUGACGGUACCUGCAGAAUAAGCGCCGGCUAACUACGUGCCAGCAGCCGCGGUAAUACGUAGGGUGCAAGCGUUAAUCGGAAUUACUGGGCGUAAAGCGUGCGCAGGCGGUUCGGAAAGAAAGAUGUGAAAUCCCAGAGCUUAACUUUGGAACUGCAUUUUUAACUACCGGGCUAGAGUGUGUCAGAGGGAGGUGGAAUUCCGCGUGUAGCAGUGAAAUGCGUAGAUAUGCGGAGGAACACCGAUGGCGAAGGCAGCCUCCUGGGAUAACACUGACGCUCAUGCACGAAAGCGUGGGGAGCAAACAGGAUUAGAUACCCUGGUAGUCCACGCCCUAAACGAUGUCAACUAGCUGUUGGGGCCUUCGGGCCUUGGUAGCGCAGCUAACGCGUGAAGUUGACCGCCUGGGGAGUACGGUCGCAAGAUUAAAACUCAAAGGAAUUGG
RNAcentral lists this ribosomal RNA (565 nucleotides) under uncultured bacterium. Its description in RNAcentral is "partial 16S ribosomal RNA". It matches the Rfam family "Bacterial small subunit ribosomal RNA", at positions 355 to 913 of the family's 1533-position model. The record is from RNAcentral.